Molecule: long non-coding RNA, 603 nt
Organism: Gorilla gorilla gorilla (western lowland gorilla)
Lineage: Eukaryota; Metazoa; Chordata; Mammalia; Primates; Hominidae
Exons: 3
Source: RefSeq, a predicted model, not a curated record
AAGGAUCCUCAUUAUUCCCUCUUCGCUACCUCCUCUCUACAACCCCAUUCCAAAGGGACUGACCUUCAACAGAAUGUAUUUCUAUAGAGAUAAAAACAACGAAACUCCCAAGACGUCUAUAUUUGGAAUAUACAGGGAAAACUAGGAAUUUAAUAGCUGAGUUCACGUCCUGCCGACAAAACUUAGAAGGAAUCAACAAACUUCAAGUUCAGGCGCAUAUGUGGUACCCUGUGGCCUAGCGAGAAGAUCGCAGAUGACAUGGGAGGCCUUCAUCUUCUGCAUCUGUCCGACCUUUUCAGCUCCUCUUCUGGUCACUCUGUCAAGGGGGCCUGGAACUCCUGAGACGUGAAAGGACCAGCCCUAUCUCAGAUGGUGCGGGUUUCUUCAGCCUGACCUCUGCCAUAUUUGCUUGGAGCCCCAGAGCUCAUCCUUCAAGGCCUUUUUAAAAAUAGCACAGCCUCUGUCAAGCCUUCUUGAAAAAUUAAAUUUUUUAUCGUAAAAACUUUCAAACAUAUAAAGAAUGUGAAAGAAUAGGCAAUUAUCUGUAUACUCAUCACCCACAUUCAAUAAUUAACAUUUUGCCGUCUUAGCCUCAUCUACCUA